Molecule: ribosomal RNA, 468 nt
Filed under: uncultured bacterium
Lineage: Bacteria
Description: partial 16S ribosomal RNA
Rfam family: Bacterial small subunit ribosomal RNA
Source: RNAcentral
GACGAACGCUGGCGGCGUGCUUAACACAUGCAAGUCGAACGGAAAGGCCCUGCUUUUGUGGGGUUCUCGAGUGGCGAACGGGUGAGUAACACGUGAGUAACCUGCCCUUGACUUUGGGAUAACUUCAGGAAACUGGGGCUAAUACCGGAUAGGAGCUCCUGCUGCAUGGUGGGGGUUGGAAAGUUUCGGCGGUUGGGGAUGGACGCGCGGCUUAUCAGCUUGUUGGUGGGGUAGUGGCUGACCAAGGCUUUGACGGGUAGCCGGCCUGAGAGGGUGACCGGCCACAAUGGGACUGCGAUACGGACCAGACUCCUACGGGAGGCAGAAGGGGGGAAUAUUGCACAAUGGGCGGAAGCCUGAUGCAGCAACGCCGCGUGCGGGAUGACGGCCUUCGGGUUGUAAACCGCUUUCGCCUGUGACGAAGCGUGAGUGACGGUAAUGGGUAAAGAAGCACCGGCUAACUACGUG